Acanthopagrus latus (yellowfin seabream) is the source of this 1179-nucleotide long non-coding RNA. RefSeq lists it as uncharacterized. The record is from RefSeq and is a predicted model, not a curated record. The transcript is spliced from 2 exons. NCBI's taxonomy places the organism in Eukaryota, Metazoa, Chordata, Actinopteri, Spariformes, Sparidae.
AAUAAACAUUCAUAAGUUGGUAAUAUUAGUAAACUUUGUUUCAACAGCAAUUAAAUGUGCAGCAGGCAAUAUCUGCACAUUAAAACACAUUAUACAUGCACUUGGACUUACUGCAACACCAGUGAUUUGUAUGUUUUUCCAUUAAGUGCCUUUAUUGUGUUUACGAUUUAAAAAACAUAUCUAAGAUAAUCACAGAGGGGCUGAACAUUUAAAAAUCAUAUCAGGCACUACAAGUCAAUGAUUGAAUCACAUUUGAAAACAAAAUGUAAUAAAGGUUUGUAGUGGUGUCACACAAUACAAAUACAGAAAGGGAAAACAGCCCCCCCCCAAAAAAAUAGUCUAACAUUACAAAAGUUUUGAUAUAUAGCAGUGAUCCAUUACAUCAGAAAAAUGACCCUAAGAUGGGCAGCUUAAUGUACACAAAUUCUCCAUCAUGUCAACAUUCCUUUUACAGUGUAAGUAGGAGUCAGUCCCCUUUAUACAUGGUUAGAUCACCCCAGUCUUCUUUGUCUUCUGUUCUUUUGGGCUGCAGCAGCAUCCAUACAACAGAGCGAAGACGAUCAGAGACAUAAUCAGCAGCAUGAACAGUCCUAUGACCACAAUACCACCAAGUGUCCAUGGACCCUGAUGCACCCGAUACAGGAACCAUUCCACCCAGGCCUCCGGUGACCCUGUUGGUUUUUGCAGUUCUGGUACACUGCACAUGGAGAGAUGAACCAGAUGAAAGCUCAGAUGGCGGAAUAUUAGUUAAAGCGGUGAUACCUCAGUUACUCUGUGUGGGCAGGAGCAACAGAAAGGCAACAGCUCCUGGUUAAUGUUUACUCAAAAUAUUGACUGCUGGAGGCAAAGGAGAGAUCUGGUGAUAAGGUGUGCAAACAUUAGGGCGGUGUUUUACUGAUGCAAAUAGAAUCCCACUUUAUCAAAAUUGUUUUUUAAACUUGAACAUCUAAAUAUAAUCGGGAAAAAAAGCAUUUUAAGAAGAAACUAAAAGUUGUAAUUUUUUAGAAGAUGCGAUUUACAUUUGAGCAAAUAAAGAUAAUAUGUCAAUGCUGUAUAUUUUUUUAUUUUAUAUAUUGAACAUUUAUUACAUUUCAGGAACAUCCACAAAGGAAAUAUGGCACUGCCUCUGUAAAAAGACAAAAAAAAACCUUACAUACAAAGAGAAUAGCACAAUUUGCA